GACGAACGCUGGCGGCGUGCUUAACACAUGCAAGUCGUACGGUAAGGCCCUUUCGGGGGUACACGAGUGGCGAACGGGUGAGUAACACGUGAGUAACCUGCCCACAACUUUGGGAUAACGCUAGGAAACUGGUGCUAAUACUGGAUAUGUGCUCCUGCUGCAUGGUGGGGGUUGGAAAGCUCCGGCGGUUGUGGAUGGACUCGCGGCCUAUCAGCUUGUUGGUGGGGUAGUGGCCUACCAAGGCGGCGACGGGUAGCCGGCCUGAGAGGGUGACCGGCCACAUUGGGACUGAGAUAAGGCCCAGGCGCCUACGGGAGGCAGCAGGGGGGAAUAUUGCACAAUGGGCGCAAGCCUGAUGCAGAAACGCCGCGGGCGGGAUGACGGGCUUCGGGUUGGAAACCGCUUUCAGCAGGGACGAAGCUUUUUGUGACGGUACCUGCAGAAGAAGCACCGGCUAACUACGUG
This 465-nucleotide ribosomal RNA is filed under the name uncultured bacterium. RNAcentral's name for it is "partial 16S ribosomal RNA". It matches the Rfam family "Bacterial small subunit ribosomal RNA", at positions 28 to 507 of the family's 1533-position model. The record is from RNAcentral.